Molecule: long non-coding RNA, 946 nt
Organism: Mastomys coucha (southern multimammate mouse)
Lineage: Eukaryota; Metazoa; Chordata; Mammalia; Rodentia; Muridae
Exons: 2
Source: RefSeq, a predicted model, not a curated record
GGAGAUGGGACAUUGCUGGCACUGCUUCAUCAUUUAUGCAUUCAUUCAUACCCUAAAUACUUACUGACAAUUACUAUCCACCAUGCAAGUCUUCAAGUGCUGGGAACAACCAGCAUCAUUAUCCUGCAACAGUGUCACAAUCCAGAGAAGUCGUCACACAAAUAAAUACCAGUACCGUAGGACGGAAAGAACUGCAAUAUACAGAAUAUGGUGCUAGCAAGGCACGAUGAAGGGGGAUACCCAACCUUGGCUUCCACAUCAAGGUCAAGGGACAACAUAAUGCAAAUGCAGACACAGAAGAGGAGGGGAUACAGACACCUUGGAACAAGAGAUCCUCCCUACCCAUCCAGCUAAUCUGCCAUCUUAUCUGGAUAUCCAUGGGAUCUAAUGCUGUUAACAGAAAACUAAGAAACCAGAAAACAAGAGUUUCGUUAGACUACAAAUCAGACCUACAAUCAAUUCUCUAUCAAUUCAGGACAAACAAAUUUAAAAACAAAACAAAACAACCUGGAAAUGGACAUAAAAAAGCCAAAGUAAGGUUCUAGAUGAGGUAGAAGCAGAUAGUGGGGUACUCAUUUGCAUAGCUGGAGUAGAGUUUGCCUAUUUGAAUGUAAGAAAUACUACAAGUUGCUCCCGCCUGCCUGCCUCCAACACCAGUUCCCUAACUUGCAUUGUUUCUGACAGUCUGAAACCACAUUUAUAUUAUUGCUUUCUGCUAGACAUUCAUUUUUCAUUAAGUUCAAGAAUACCUAAACAUAUGAAACUUACAAGGAUAAGUACCUAGAGGUACAGAAAUAAGAUAAAUGCUGAAAAGGGAAACAAUUCACCUAUCAAUUUAGAAUAUCCAACCCAACAAGGUAGGAAAGAAGAGUGUCUGGGGUCCUUACUUGAAUUCAAGAAAAUUUACUUUACUGAAGACUAAAUAAAGAGCAACAUCCUAAACGGC